This 373-nucleotide ribosomal RNA is filed under the name uncultured organism. RNAcentral describes it as "partial 16S ribosomal RNA". It matches the Rfam family "Bacterial small subunit ribosomal RNA", at positions 527 to 896 of the family's 1533-position model. The record is from RNAcentral.
GUAGGUGGCAAGCGUUGUCCGGAAUUAUUGGGCGUAAAGCGCGCGCAGGCGGUCCUUUAAGUCUGAUGUGAAAGCCCACGGCUCAACCGUGGAGGGUCAUUGGAAACUGGGGGACUUGAGUACAGAAGAGGAAAGCGGAAUUCCAAGUGUAGCGGUGAAAUGCGUAGAGAUUUGGAGGAACACCAGUGGCGAAGGCGGCUUUCUGGUCUGUAACUGACGCUGGGGCGCGAAAGCGUGGGGAGCAAACAGGAUUAGAUACCCUGGUAGUCCACGCCGUAAACGAUGAGUGCUAAGUGUUAGGGGGUUUCCCGCCCCCUUAGUGCUGCAGCUAACGCAUUAAGCACUCCGCCUGGGGGAUACGGCCGCAAGGCUG